Molecule: long non-coding RNA, 244 nt
Filed under: Arachis ipaensis
Lineage: Eukaryota; Viridiplantae; Streptophyta; Magnoliopsida; Fabales; Fabaceae
Description: long non-coding RNA (AIPA_LNC001150)
Source: RNAcentral
CCUAUCAAAGGACGGCAACCAGCCUUGAAUCCGUUUUUGCAGCCACUUAAGCAUAUAUACAUUCUAUCAAAGGUAACUUCACCAUCUGGUUGGGGGGUGGUGCAUAUUUGUACAGUGGAACCGGGAUUAGUCUUCAACAGCGUCAUACCAUAAUCCCUAACCAUCCUAUAUUGUUCUUUCUCAUCCCCAUACACUACACUUCUUGCAUCCAUUAAUGCCCUGGAUAUUGAGUUUUUAUUCAGAG